Long non-coding RNA from Astatotilapia calliptera (eastern happy), 3224 nucleotides. The record is from Ensembl. Lineage: Eukaryota; Metazoa; Chordata; Actinopteri; Cichliformes; Cichlidae.
GGAAAACCUCCGGAAGCGCGUCAUCUGUUGUUGGGAAAAAAAGUUUUUAGAGGGAGGGGGAAACCUCCGGAAGCGCGCCAUCUGUUGGAGGGGAAUAAAAAAGCAGAGAGAGGAGUCCGUCACAAUUUCUAAGGCACAGACACAAGAUGGAUUUCCUUCUGCAGCCCCGCAGCGGUCCUGUGUCCGAUGAGAUCUGCUCUCCCAAAGAAGAAGGUUUUGAAUAUGACAUAUUCAAAUACAGCAUAUUUACUAUGGAAGGCAUCGAUCCGGACCUUAUGACCCUACCGGAAAUACUCCGGAAGUGUCUAGUCAUUUUUAGACCUGUUGCAUCAUGUUCCCUAACCACAGCGGUGAUGCAGCAGAUGAUUCUGCGAUGAAAAGAAGAACUUUCUAUCCGCUUGUAACCUUUAAGAUACACCAUAGCUUGUGAUGAAAAGAAGAACUUUCUAUCCGCUUGUAACCUACAGGCUGCCUAUGUGUAAAAAAUUGAAUAAAUAUCGCUUAGUGAAUACUACUUUUCCUUGUGAGAGUCCUUUUUUACAAGAGACUGAAAAAACAAACCAGCGACAGGCGAUCUUGUUUCACACACACACCCACCUCUGUGGGAAAGAGUCAACCAUGAGAGUUUUGUCAACAGCAAUUGUCCAUUUGGCAAAACAAAUAUCCGUCUCAAAGCCGUAUUUUACCGUUGCAGAAAACAGACGGCGUUCGCAAGAAGGCACACACACACACACACACACACACACACACACACCCCGCGGGCCAAGGAGGAGUGAGACAGCAGAUAUCAGUUUUUUUUUGUUUUUUUGUUUUUUUUUUUUCUCAAUGCUUAUAUCCUAUAACACGCCCUCCAAAAAAAUAUUAUUAUUAUUAAAACAUCUAUAUGAGGUAGGUUUUGCGCAACCUGCUCCUUGUCAGACCAAAGUAGAGAGUUUUUUCUUCAAUACUUUAACAAUAAGUUUUCUCAAUAGAUAGAAAAUGUUGACGCUGAGGAGUCAACAUCCGAUAUUAUCAUUGCUUGUAACCCGGUUUUUCACAUCUCCCCAUAAAACUAGUCUUAGCGGGGAAAAAAAGCUCAUAUUCGAAUAAGUUUAUUAAAGCACCCCCCUCUGUGGGAAAGAGUCAGCCAUGAGCCGAGUUUUGUCAACAGCAAUUGUCCAUUUGGCAAAACAAAUAUCCGUCUCAAAGUCGUAUUUUACCGUUGCAGAAAACAGACGGCGUUCGCAAGAAGGCCUACACACACACACACACACACACACACCCCGCGAGGCAAGGAGGAGUUUUCUUCUUCAUUACUUUUUACAAUAAGUUUUCUCAAUAGAUAGAAAAUGAUGACGCUGAGGAGUCAACAUCCGAUAUUAUCAUUGCUUGUAACCCUGUUUUUUUACAUCUCCCCAUAAAACUAGUCUUAGCGAGGAAAAAAAAAAAAAGCUCAUAUUCGAAUAAGUUUAUUCCCCCCUCUGUGGGAAAGAGUCAACCAUGAGCCGAGUUUUGUCAACAGCAAGAACAAGGUCAGACAGCAAUUGUCCAUUUGGUAAAACAAAUACCCGUCUCAAAGCCAUAUUUUACCGUUGCGGAAUGGGGGGAAAACAGACGGCGUUCGCAAGAAGGCAAUCAAAAAAAAACAAACCCCCUCUAACUACCGGUAUUGUCAAGAGAAAGAUGCGAAAAACAGAUGCUUCGCUAGACUAGGAUAAAAUGAGAGAAGAAGCGGAAGGGGAGUCGCUAUCUGUGACAGUUCUACCAAUCGCGAGGAAGAAUCCGUGAAUAUUAUGUCAGCAUUCCGUUCAAACAACGCCGCCGAUCAGAGGGCCAUCUCGCCGGAUCUGUUCAUACCUCACCCCGGUAAGUUUUUUUCUUUACGACUUUAAAUUAUAUAUCAACAGAGAUGUCAAUAAUUUGAUUACUUUCUUUUAGAUUUCUACAUCAAUGAUUUCACGCAAGUGGACUACGGUACGUUUAAAUAAGUAUAUACCAUUUUUUAAACAAGUUUAGAUAGACUUGAUUUAACCAUGCUCUGAUACUUACAGAAACAAUCGAUAAUGCAGUGAGUAACAGCAGAAAUCCGGCCGUUUUCCACGGCGAAUUAGAAGCCAUAUCCCCCGCAGAACCUCCGCUGCCGCCGCAUCGAAGAGAAGACGGCACUAUUUUCGUCUCCGCAUACCGGGAGAACCGCGGAGAAAAAAGUUUUAAAAUCGAAGGUAAACAAUAUGAUGCAUUAUCAGCCAUUUUGUUGAAUAACAGGAUGUGACGGAGUAAUCCGUGUGUGCUAUACCGCCCCUCCCGACCCGGAGCAGAUUUUUAAAAAGUUUUGCUUUAUUUCUCGACAGAGGUAAUCGAGAAUAUACAGACCCCGCCGCAGCGAAAAGAAGAAGAAGAAGACGACGACGUUAUUUUCGUCAACGCAUACCGGGAGAACUGCAGGAAAAUACCUUUUAAACCAAAAGGUAAACAAUAUGAUGCAAUAUCCGUCAUUUCGAUAAAUAUCAGGAUGUGGCGGAGUAAUCCGAGUGUGCUAUACCACCCCUCCCGACUUGGAGUGGUAUAAAGCGAGCUAAAAAGUUUUUUUUUUUUUUUUUUUUUUUUUUAUUAAAUCUUUCUCUUUUUGUUUUAUUUCUCGGCAGCCGAGAUUGCUGAUAUACCUAUUCAAGCCCCCUCCGCUACAGACAAUCGCGCGGAGGAGCGAGGUAAAUAAAAAGUUUUUUUCAUUCUCGAAAAAUAGGAAAGAGGAGGUUGUUUUCUUAAAUCUCUUCUGUUUUAUUUCUCGGCAGCCGAGAUUGCGGAUUUACCUAACCAAUCCCCCGCCGCUACAGACAAUCGGGCGGAGGAGCGAGGUAAAUAAAACGUUUUUUUCAUUCUCAAAAAAUAGGAAGGAUGAGAUUGUUUUCUUAAAUCUCUUCCGUUUUAUUUUCCCCGCCAGAGACCGAUACAGAAAAUCAGACGGAAGAAAAUCAGGCUGAGGAGGAACCGUUCAGAUCGCCUCCUCUCAGGAGAGUGAGAGCUCCUCUCGGAAGACUGAGAGCUCGACGGAUGCUUCAUAAGUAGAGAAUCCUUGAAAAACUCGCUUUCAUGUACGUCGCAACAGUUCGCACAUACGCAUCGAUAUACAGACACAAGGACCUGUAAAGUAAAAGCAUGUAAAAGUCUGUGAAUUAAGAAAUAAAGAAAAUCAUGUCGGAAGAACACAGCAUUCCUGAGGCUUUGUUGGAAGCCGUGGCAGAAUU